RNAcentral lists this ribosomal RNA (98 nucleotides) under uncultured Acidobacteriota bacterium. Its description in RNAcentral is "uncultured Acidobacteria bacterium partial 16S ribosomal RNA". It matches the Rfam family "Bacterial small subunit ribosomal RNA", at positions 93 to 190 of the family's 1533-position model. The record is from RNAcentral. Lineage: Bacteria; Pseudomonadati; Acidobacteriota.
CAGCGGCGCACGGGUGAGUAACACGUGGGUAAUCUGCCCUGGAGUGGGGAAUAACACCGGGAAACCGGUGCUAAUACCGCAUACGAUCACGAUGUCUG